GCUCUGUGCGCAGGCUCCGGGGCGGCGCGGGCAGCGAGUGCGCAGGCUCCGGCCCCCCACCCCACUCCCGAGGCUCGGUCUAGGCCGCCAACUUUCUUGAGGGGCCGGCUCCGGGCACGCCCGACUUCUGGAAGGGUCGGUUCCAGUGCGAGCACCUCCUGGGGAGAAAACCCGGAACGUUGGGCUCUCAGGACAGGAGCUGAUGUUCCAGCAGCAUCGUGGGCUGAUUUCCUCAGGGCCCGGGAAGACUGUGGAAAUGAGCGCUGCAGGGAGAGCUCUUUGAUGUCUCCUGUGGAUCUCACAGCGUGCUGCACAGACACGGGACACUGAGAGUGGCUGAAUAGCCCCGGACACGUAUACACCUGCAGCUGAGGGGAUGUCGUUUAUCAGUUACACUUCAAUAACAAAAACCAAUGAGAAAGCUUCCUGUAAAGGGAUCAGAGCCAUCGCCAGGAUGUGUUAUUAAGUAAAAAACAAAGCAAAGUGAAGAAGAAUGUACUGUGCUAUUUUGUGGUCAAGCAAAUCAGUAAAUUUGCUGGGAAUCACGGAGCAGAAGGGCAUUACAACUACAGUAGGAGAGGAGAGGGUGGGGGAAGCCUGUGGUCUGGGUGGGUGGUGGAGACAUGUGUGUGAAUACAGACAGGUCUGUUUGGGGCAGUGACACUGCCAUCUGCCCCCUGGGAAUCACGGCUGACGUACCCCACAGCCUCACUCGGGGAGGCGGGUCCCUGUCACAUGAAACAGGGCGGAGGCGCUGGUCUCCACUGUCCAUGGUCUGGAUCACGUGUAUGGCAGCUCUGAGUGCUUGUAAGGACACAGAUAUGGGAAUCAGGUUCCCGCGGUCCCAAUCCUGACUCCCCGCUCACUGCUGCUCACAUCCACAUUCCGGGCCUCAGUGUCCCUGUCUGUGUUCUGCAGACCCACCUAGCGAGUGGCGAGUGUAAAUGAGCUGACACAUCUGAGGGACUCUGCAUGGUGUCUGUCCCGCGUGAAGUUCUUCAGCAAUGAGUCUUAUUAUUGCUUCCCCCCCCCACUUUUUUUUUUUUUUUUAAUCACUGUGUUUUUCUUAUUUGAGGGCAGAAACAAGUGCUUGUG
Ailuropoda melanoleuca (giant panda) is the source of this 1095-nucleotide long non-coding RNA. RefSeq lists it as uncharacterized. The record is from RefSeq and is a predicted model, not a curated record. NCBI's taxonomy places the organism in Eukaryota, Metazoa, Chordata, Mammalia, Carnivora, Ursidae. The transcript is spliced from 5 exons.